CGCCAGACUCCUACGGGAGGCAGCAGUGGGGAAUAUUGCACAAUGGGGGAAACCCUGAUGCAGCGACGCCGCGUGAGCGAUGAAGUAUUUCGGUAUGUAAAGCUCUAUCAGCAGGGAAGAAAAUGACGGUACCUGACUAAGAAGCCCCGGCUAACUACGUGCCAGCAGCCGCGGUAAUACGUAGGGGGCAAGCGUUAUCCGGAUUUACUGGGUGUAAAGGGAGCGUAGACGGCUGUGCAAGCCAGAUGUGAAAGCCCGGGGCUCAACCCCGGGACUGCAUUUGGAACUGUGUGGCUGGAGUGUCGGAGAGGCAGGCGGAAUUCCUAGUGUAGUGGUGAAAUGCGUAGAUAUUAGGAGGAACACCAGUGGCGAAGGCGGCCUGCUGGACGAUGACUGACGUUGAGGCUCGAAAGCGUGGGGAGCAAACAGGAUUAGAUACCCCUGUACUA
This 449-nucleotide ribosomal RNA is filed under the name uncultured bacterium. RNAcentral's name for it is "bacterial SSU rRNA". It matches the Rfam family "Bacterial small subunit ribosomal RNA", at positions 329 to 797 of the family's 1533-position model. The record is from RNAcentral.